CAGCAGCCACGGUAAUACGAAGGGGGCUAGCGUUGCUCGGAAUGACUGGGCGUAAAGGGCGCGUAGGCGGUUUUCCAAGUUAGAUGUGAAAUUCCUGGGCUCAACCUGGGGGCUGCAUUUGAUACUGGGAGGCUUGAGUAUGGAAGAGGGUCGUGGAAUUCCCAGUGUAGAGGUGAAAUUCGUAGAUAUUGGGAAGAACACCGGUGGCGAAGGCGGCGACCUGGUCCAUAACUGACGCUGAGGCGCGAAAGCGUGGGGAGCAAACAGGAUUAGAUACCCCAGUAGUCCCUGUCUCUUAUAC
RNAcentral lists this ribosomal RNA (301 nucleotides) under uncultured bacterium. RNAcentral's name for it is "partial 16S ribosomal RNA". It matches the Rfam family "Bacterial small subunit ribosomal RNA", at positions 509 to 807 of the family's 1533-position model. The record is from RNAcentral.